AUAAGCUGAGAAUCAAUCCAUAAUAUUAUUUUCCUUAGUUAAGUAAGGAGAAUCAAUUGUAAGCAGGUUUACCAUAAAUAGACGUGAGAUGAGUACAAAGAAGUACUGAUUUAGGAGGGAAUAAGUACUAACGGUAGAAAACAUAUCAAUGUUGGUAAUUACCAUAAAUCAGUCCAGUUUUUUAAAAAACCUUUCCAUACCACACAAGAAUAAAAGAUUAGAAAAAUCACAGACAUACCCAGUUUACCUAAAAUAAGCAAGGACAAGAGUUAACACACAUUUGAUCCCAAUCAUAUAUCAGUAAAAAAAUCCCACUUGAUUGUAAAUAAACUGGAUCCUACUAUUAUCAGCUGUUGUAAUACUUUUAGCUCACCAAAUAAAGAUAGCUGCAAAUUCAAAUUUUAAACAGAUAACCCAAGCACAUUUUAGACCACACAGUAACAACUUCUACCCGUAAGGGAAGGAUAUCAGAUUUAGAGGUAUCAUACUUCAAAUUAUGAAAUUAAAAUAAUGAAACUUGGGGCUUUGAAUAGGUAUGUCAGUCUGGAGAUGAACAUAAGCCCAAAAAUUAACAAAUAAGAACAAAAUUCAGAGUCACAAUAUCUUAAUUUAUAAAGUUGCAGGGCUGCAAUUUGUAAUCAUAGCAAACAAUCAUGCAUGUUAACCAAAGCAAACAACCAUGUAAUUAAGAGUUUGAGAAAUCAAACCAGAUAGAAAUAGUCGAUGUUUAUCGAAAGCCUCGCUGGUUAUGACAACUAGAUAGUGACAAUGGGGUCUUUCCUCGACUAGGGAGGGAAGAGUGAAGCAGAGGCGGCAGUGAGAAGACGGAUUGAUUGGACGGUGGGGAGGUCCGUUGCUGUUGGUGCUGCUUUGGGCAACUGGCGUGGCGCCAUGGUUGCUGGUGAUUGAGGAAAGGCGACGCUGGGGUUGACUCAUUGCUUUUGGUGGCAGCGUGGCUGCUAGGAGUACGGAGAUGAUGGCGUUGUUGUGGCCAUCGUUGAUGGAGGUGCCAUGGAUGGUGCGGCGGUAGUACGUCGAUCGGAGGAUGAAGGCGGCUCGUGGUAGCUGUUGUUGCUGCUUCGCGGUGGCACUUAGUUCGCUAGAGGAGAGAGAUGACAUGGAGAAGGAGAAGGAGAGAGGGGCGGCGCCGGCGUUGAUAUGGCCAACAGCUAUGGUUGCCGAUAGAGAGGGGAUUAGAGAAAGAGAAGAGAAGUAAAGAGAGAAAAAGGAGAGAGGGGUGUUGGAGGCAGAUGAAAAAAUGUUUUUGGAAAAUUAGGGUUUUGGGUUAUUAAAAAGGAAAGAAAAGUUUGAGGCAUCUCAGUCUUUUGAUUAAUUUUGAUCAACGCUUGAGAUUAAAAUAGGAUUAAUAACUUGAUUUGGUUAAAAAUGAAACACUUGUGGCUAUAUUUGACAUGAAAUAGCCAAAAUUGACUAGAUUUGUAAAGAUUAGGCUAUAAGAUGAAUAAAUUGGAUAAAUUGGUUUUUAAAAUUAGGUUGUUAUUUCAAUUAAAGUAGAGAUAGUAAAUAAGAAUAAUAAUAAUUGAAUAAAUAAUAAUAAUAAUAAUAAUAAUAAAAUAAUAAUAAAUAAUUAUAAUAAUCACAAAUAAUAAAUAAUAAUAUAUAAUAACAAUGUCAAUAAAUAAUAAUAAAUAAAUAAAUAAAUAAUAAUUAUAUCAAGAAAUAGUAUUAAAUAAUGGAAAACUAUAUAAUGUAUUUACAAAAAUAUGAGUGUGCACGAUUACGUGAAAAAAAUAAACUUAAUUAAUAAAAAUUGCGUAAAAUGUCAUAAUUGAUUUUAAAAUGAUGCUAAAAGAUAAUAAAAUAAUUUAUGUAUUUUUCUAAAUUAUGAAUGAGACACGUUAGUAUGUAUUAAAAAUGAAAAUAAUAUGUAAAAAAUAUUAAUAAUUAAGGUUAAAUAAUUUUAAUAAAUAACGGCAUAAAAGUGAUAUCGGGAGGUCAAAAUUGGGUGUCAACUGCUGCCCCUUCUUUGUUUGAGAAUGAUGAAAGAAUUGUCAAGCAAUGAAAGUUGACGUAGUGGCCAAUUUUGUCCGACCGAGAUGAUAGUUCGCUAGAAAGAAAGCACGAAAAGUGUUAAAAAUAGUGUGGCCGAGACUUUGGCUUUAAGUCACCUACAUAUCUCUGUUUUUACGAGAAUCGGGACAUUUGAAGUUCUAGAUUUAGGAAUGAACAAUAUUCCUAAAAAAUAUUAAUGACAAAGGUUGGGGCAUUGAUAAUGAUAUCAUGGAUCGGUGAGGCAGUAAUGAAUAGGAUUUGAAGUAAUUUGAAAACUUUAAGGUAGGUGAGGUGAUGAAUGAGUUCAUAUGGUGGAUGAAUAGAUGGAGUAAUAUUCUGAAAACAGAAACGAAUAUUGUCUCUGUCUGUUAUUUCUUCUCCGUUACCUACAUAUUUCACGGUAUACUUGAUAACCAAGGUUAAGUCAUGUAAAUGAUAAGCAUUUUAAAACAUAAAGUGAGUGUAAGAAGUAAAGAAAGCAUAUCUGUUGUACUAUUAGAUGACAUUGGAUCAUGUCGUUGGAUCAGCUGUUUGGCCUCUCAAUAUGAUGCCGGAUCGGCUGUUGAACCUUUCAAUGUUGAAUCAGCUAUUUGGUUUCUCGAUAUGACGUAGGAUCAGCUGUUGAACCUCUCGAUGUUGGAUCAGCUGUUUGGCUUCUCAUCGUGGGAUCAACUUUUGGGGCUUCUCCGUAUAUUAUGAAAUCGUGGUAUCAACAUUUGAGUUUCUCCAUUGUGGGAUAAGCAUUGGGAUUUUCCAUCAUCAGAUCGGCAUUUGAGCUUCUUCAUCAUCUGUUCAGCAUUUGGGCUUCUCCAUCGUCGGAUCAGCAUUGGAGCUUCUCCAUCGUCGGAUCAGCAUUUGGGCUUCUCCAUUGUCGGAUCAACAUUAGAGCUUCUCCAUUGUCGGAUCAACAUUGGGGCUUCUCCAUUAUCGGAUCAGCAUUGGAACUUCUCCAUUAUCGGUUCAGCAUUUGGACUUCCCCAUCGUCGGAUCAGUAUUGGAGCUCCUCCAUCGUCGGAUCAGCACUUGGGCUUCUCCAUCGUUGGACCAGCAUUGGAGCUUCUCCAUUGUCGGAUCAGCAUUUGGGCUUCUCCAUCAUUAGAUUAGUAUUGAGCUUUUCUAUCGUCGGAUCGGUAUUUGAGCAUCUCCAUUGUCGGAUCAGCAUUAGGCUUCUCUAUUGUUGGAUCAGUAUUUUAGCUUCUCUAUCAUGAAAUCGUGGCCCGUACCUGCCACUUGUAUCUCGACUCGACAGAAAUAAUUAGUGAAUAUAUGUUUGUGCAUAGAGGAUUGAAUAUUAUAGAAAACAAACAUAACGGUAAAGAUAAUGAAAGAUAGAAAAACGUAUUUGUCUUGUUGUCGGAUCAACUGUGCGGCUUCUCAUCAUGAUGUUGGAUUGUCUAUCGUGUUCCUUCAUGAUGAAGUAAUUUCUGUCACCUUAUAUCGUUGGGUCUCUUGUGAUGGAGUGAUUGUUGUCAUCUGUACCUGUUACUUGUUCCUGUACUCAAAGAAAAGUCAUCAGUCAAAAAAAUAUGAAUUUGUACCAUGCUCGAGUCGACUCCUUGGUCGUUGUUUUCUACUCCAUGAACCGUUGGGAUUUGUACUCUAUCGUGAUGAAAUUUUUGAGAAAUUCUCAAAAAAAAUUUCCCCAGUAUAGAAUGUAAAGCACCUUUGGCACGUCAUUUGUGAAUGAAUAUAUUGUUUACUUGUGAAAUUUUUGAGGAAUUCUCAAAAAUUUCUGCCCCAGUUUAGAAUGAAAGGCACCUUUUGCACGUCAUUGUGAAUUGAUAUAUUGUUUAAGUGUAAAAUUUUUGAGGUUUUCUUGAAACCUCAAAAAUUCUGCCCUAGUUGGAGCCGUAUAUUCCUGCACAACUCAAAGAAAAUAUUAGUUCAAGAGAAAUGGUUGUCCUACAUUUGAAUGCUCAAGAGUUGGGUUCAUUAGCUUGACAAUUUGGAUGUGUAAAAAUUUGAAAGAGAGGGGAAAGCAAAUGUUUUAUUAGAUAAAGACCAAACCCAAAGUGGGCUGCCUACGUAUCCAAAUAGAAGUCAGGUCAAAUGUAGUUCGUGAGGGUAAAGCGAGGAUAAGGAGGCGCAACGUUUAUCUUGAGCGAGGAGAAGGAGGGUUAGAGAAUUUUUGAAUGUUGAGCAUAUUUGUCAUAUUGUAGAUUUUCAAUCGAGUCGAUGUUCAAACGCUAGACAACCUUUAAAUAAUAAAUAGUAAACUAAAAUAAAUAUCAGCGUACUCAAUGCGAAAAGAGAUAGUAUGUCAAUAUGAGUCAUUUUGUCCAGGAGGACUUUAGGAUGAAUGUGGGCUAGAACUUAAGCUUUAAAAAUAAAUUGAUAUCACAAGAUAGAAGAUAGAUUCUAAUAGAUUCUAACAAAGACUUAGAUACCAAAUUCGUACUUGAAGCUGAUUGAGUAAAUAAGUGAAUAAUGAUAAGAUAUUGCAGAGAUGUGCAUAAAAAUGUUUAAAGAAAUUGUUUUGAACAAAUGGGAGAAUUGAAGAUUGACAAAGUUUUGAGCACUUUGAAGUAUUUACUUUGAAAUGUCUGAGAGUUUAAAAUAUUUUGAAAAGUCAUUUGAAUAAAAAACUUCUAAGUUGUACCCUUAUGACAUUAUGGAAAGGUAAAAGAUAUGGAGAAUAUGAUUUGAUAGAAGAAUUGUUGGAAUGAUAACGAUUGUUUCAUAUUUUCAAAUAUUAGGACGUUUUGUAAAAGAAAGGGAAAAGGAAGACCGCAUCCUUACAAAGGAUUGCCUACGUAUCUUGUUGGAACAAGAAUCAGGUCAGACGUAGUUCAAAAAUUUAAGAGUUGUGGAAGCUGAAUAGCGGGUGGGGAUGAAUUGGAGGAUAUUGAAUAGGCCCUAAGAGUGUAUUUUAGGGUCCUAACAUAACAAGAAUUUUACGAGUAACGAGCUCUAAAGUGAGGAACACUAAAUGUAAGGAGUGACUAAGGCAAGAACGAAACAACAAGAUAGGCAAGAUGUCAAUCCAUACAUAAAAAUGCAACACAUAGCAAAUAAGUGUGAGUCCUCUUAAGGUCGUGAACCUCUUUGGACUUUGAAUGAGACUAACACUCAACAUGUUAAGGAAACCAAGGCACCCUACGUUGAAUGAUAUGCAUAUUCCUUAGUAAAAGGAAUAUGUAGCCAAAACCUAAAGUACAAAAGUGGGUUUAUGACAUAGUUACCUCAAGUGGUCAACUCGAGAGUGGGAAAGCUUGUGGCUAUCAACACACCGCUGAUCGACUGAUCCACAAGACAUUUCUCGAAGGGUCUUUUAGGAAUGAACGUCCGUGUAUUCACGUAACCAUUCAUAAGAGAAAACAAAAGAGGUUCCAAGAGGAGUAAAGUAUGAGCACUAUGCCAGUUAUAUAAAGCAAUAAUAGGCAGCACAUAGGAACACAUAAUAGCAUGCUUUAGCAAAAAUAAAAAUAUAUAAUCAAUAAAGGAAAAAGUAGGAUGGAGGAACGUAAAUGACACAUAACAAAGGAAAGGAGAAGGGAUUAUCAUGCAUAAAUUGAUCAUCAAUAAAAGCAAAAGUAGUCAUGAAGAAACAUGAAUAACACAUAAACAUAGAGAAGGAGAAGAGACAAAUAAAUAAUGAUGUGAAUAAACAUUAAACAUAUAUAGAAUGGCCUAUGUCAAAAGCAAGCAUAAAAAUAAAUAAAGAGAAUCCCACAUAAGCACAAGUUCGUAAUGUUCAGAACCUAAUAAUCCCCAGCAGAGUCGCCAUUCUGUCGCACCCCAUUUUUCUCGCGGAAGGCGGGAUUCGACUCGACAAAAUCUCUUGGGAUUGUAUCUGAAAGGAAGGGCGUGAAGAGUCGCCACCUAACAUAUUAAGGUGCAUUAUAGCACUGGUCUCGACUACUAUGAACAUAUUUUUUCAUUUUGUCAUAGAUCACCAGAGUUUGAGUAAGGGUUCAAAUUACUUCAAAAGGAAGGUGUUAGGCACCUUUCGAGGUCCACAAUGGUGGUUCCUGGCCGAAUUCAUACUUUACAUAGGGAUUCUAUAUGAUCAAAUAAAGGUCUCUUCUUUUAUUAUUAAUUUACUAUUUAGCUAAGCGAUAAGAUAAUAAAUAAGCAAACACAUGUCAUUUGUUAAUGCUAAUUGUUGAUUAUCUAGGUGAUAAAAUAAAUAAAAACAUAGAAAUAAGAUAAGCGAGGAGAAAGAAGCGACAUAAUUUAUAAUAAAAAGGGGACUGCUUUAUAAUAAACUGGCUACCCCAGAUAAACAUGUAAAAUAAAUAAAAAGACUAAAAGAAAUUGUCCGAGUCAAACAAAGAGAUGUUUUGGUUUUAUUUGGAUCAGAAACCCAACUUGUUAAUCAUUAUCCGACCCAAAGGCCGAACUCUUAAACAAGUAAUAAUGUCAUUAGCCUCACCGUUAAUAUUUGUUGGGAUCAUCAUUUUCGAAAAGGGCUACCCGUCCCACCCCACCUAGGCUGGAUGUCAAGUCUAAAGGCGUUCUAUGAUAAGGACAAAACUAACGUUUUUAGUAAUACUUAUCGUCCCAACUAUCGUCCAAGAGGCAUUGGACUUUACUAUUUUGGAUUUGUGUUCUAAACUAAAAGAAAGCUAUGUUGCCUAGGACUCGAAAUGUAAAUAUAUUGGACAACAAGUAACACGUAAUAAUCCCAAGUUAGCCUCUUGAUUAAUUAACAUUUAUUAACGUGAUAGCAUGCGAAGACAGACAAUUAUAUAAUACGGCAUUAACCUAUAGGCAUGAUGUCUAAAUGUUCAAUCAAGUGGUGAUAAAGGACAACUGUGAUUCGUGCAUGCAACAAUGUAAUGCGUGUUCAUGAGGGUGUCACAAGUGUGGUAAAUGUGUCGAGAAAUAUUUUUUGAAUUGAGUGUUGCAAACUAAUGAGAAUAGAAGAAAUAAACAAGAAUAUUAAAAAGCACUAACAUGUUAAGGAUGCCAUAAUAUACUUACUCUAGUGUUUAAACGUACCGAAAAGUGCUCAAAAGUAUGUAUUUUUAUAUAACAGCAAUUGUAUUAUUUCAGAAAUUUCAUAGUGACAUGCUGAGAGUGUAUAAAUUAUACAAAAGAUGUCUUAAAGCUAACAUUUUGAUAUGCUGAUAUAUUUAAACAUGAUAGAGAUAUGCCAACAUACAGAAACUUUAACAUGCUAGAAGUAGUUAUGACAUGCUGAAAUUUAUUAGAUGCAUAGAAUUUUAAUGUUCUAAUGUUAAUAACAUGCUAAAUUUGUAUAGAUACACAAAAAUAUAUUUUAAACGUGUUGAAAUUUAUUUAAACAUGCUGAGAUUUGUCUUAAUGUGCCGAAAUACCAUAUUAACAUGCUGAAAAUUGCAAUAGCCCAAAAUAAUGAUAUGCAAAAAAAGUGAAUGUAUUAACCUAUUUGCACUUAAUUUAACAUGCUUAAAAUAAGUUAACAUGCUAAGCGAUAAUUACCUCAACAUGUCAACAUGUUUAAGAUUCACUAUACGACAUACCGGAAGAUACAUUGAUAUGUUUAUGUCGAAUUAAUGUGCCCGUUAUGCUAUAAUACAUAAUGUUAGGUUAAUAUGCUUAUAUUCGUGUUAACAAGAUUGGCAUAUUAAAUCGUUCACACCUAAUACUAAAAUUAUGUUAACAUAUCGGGAUUGACUCAAAUUCGUUAGCAAACAAAUUAAGCAUUGCAUAUGUUAAUGAAUCCUAGAUGAUCCACGUAGCACGUAUUACAUAUAAUUCUAGUUUGUGCGUACUUAUACCGUUCACAGAGCAUGUAAAUUCUCUCCCCCCAAAGCAGUCCCCAGAAUUAUACUACUACAAUGAUAGGAAUGUCUUACAAUAAUAUUACAGAACAAAUAGUAAUAAAGGAAAAACAACUAGUUAAAAAAUACAUAAUUUAAAUAUUCUGGGGACUCUUUGGAACUUGUACGUGUCUGUUUAACCUGCGAAACAUAUUAUAAUGGCAAGAAGACAGGAACACAUAGUAGCAAACAUCAAAAUAUUCCUAAAGACAUACUUUCUAAAGGUUUUUAGAACAUAGUGCAAUCAACACACAUAGAGAAUGAAAAAUUACAUCGUUCAAGAACUCACCAGUGAACAGCAGUACAGAGAGAAUAAGAACAAUAUGAGCCAAAAGCCAAGCACACGUAAUAGUUGAAGUAUGCAAGAUAUUAACAACAGUCUUCAAAAAGAAACACUUUAAAAUAUUUAAUUGCCUUAGAGAGUAGUAGUAGUAAUUGUAAUGUCAAAGCUUAAGAGUUUAAGAGCUUAAGAACCUGUGAACUUGUGAACUUGAGAAGUGAGAGCUUGUGAACUUGUGAACUUGAGAAGUGAGAGCUUGUGAACUUGUGAACUUAUCCCUUACUGAAAAAAAUGAAUGAGUUUAUAUAGUAAAAGAGAUUAGAGGGUAAAAGGAGAAAAAUAGGUUUUCCACUCAAUCGAAAUCAAUAAGGAGAGAGAAAUAAGCUGAGAAUCAAUCCAUAAUAUUAUUUUUCUUAGUUAAGUAAGGAGAAUUAUUUGUAAGCAGGUUUACCGUAAAUAGACGAGAGAUGAGUACAAGGAAGCACUAAUUUAGGAGGGAAUAAGUACUAAUGGUAGAAACAUAUCAAGGUUGGUAAUUACCAUAAAUCAAUCCAGAUUUUUAAAAAAACCUUUCCAUACCACACAAGAAUAAAAUUUUAGAAAAAUCACAGACAUAUCCAGUUUACCUAAAAUAAGCAAGGACAAGAGCUAUCUUUCAAUUUCAUCCCAAUCAUAUGUCAAUAAAAAAUCUUACUUGAUUGUAAACAAACCGGAGCCUACUAUAAUCAGCUAUCAUAAUACUUUUAGCUCACCAAAUAAAGAUGGCUGGAAAUUCGAAUUUUAAAUAGAUGACCCAAACACAUUUUAGACCAAAAAGUAACAACUUUUAUCCGUAAGUGAAGGAUAUCAGAUUUAGAGGUAUCACACUUUAAAUUACGAAAUUAAAAUAAUAAAACUUGGGGAUUUUAAUAGGUAUGUAAGUCUGGAGACGAACAUAAGCCCGAAAAUUGACAAAUAGGAACAAAAUUUAGAGUCACAGUAUCGUAAUUUAUAAAGCUGCAGGGCUACGAUUUACAAUCAUAGUAAAGAAUCAUGCAUGUUAACCAAAGCAAACAACCAUGUAAUUAAGAGUUUGAGAAAUCAAACCAGAUAGAAAUAGUCUUUGUUUGUUGAAAGCCUCGCUAGUUAUGACAACUAGAUAGUGAUAAUGGGGUCUUUCAUCGACCAGGAAGAAAAGAGUGAAGCAGCGACGGCAGUGACGAGACGGAUCGAUUGGACGAUGGGGAGGUCUGUUCUUGUUGGUGCUGCUUUGGGUGAAUGGUGUGGCGCCAUGGCUACUGGUGAUAGUGGAAAGGUGGCACUGGGGUUGAUUCGCUGCUUUUGGUGGCGAUAUGGCUGCUAGGAGUACGAAGAUGAGGGCGUUGUUGUGGCCGUCGUUGAUGGAGGCGCCAUGGCUGGUGCGGCGAUGGUAUGUCGAUUGGAGGAUGAAGGGGACUCAUGGUGGCUAUUGCUGCUGCUUUGUGGCGGCGCUUGGUUUGUCGGAGAAGAAGGAUGAUGGAGAAAAGAAGGAAGAGAGGGGGGCGGCACUGACGUUGAUGUGGCCGGCAGCUAUGGCUGCCGAUAGAGAGGGGAUUAGAGGGAGAGAAGAGAGGUAUAGAGAGAAAGAGGAGAGAGGGGUAUUGGAGG
Molecule: long non-coding RNA, 9666 nt
Filed under: Capsicum annuum
Lineage: Eukaryota; Viridiplantae; Streptophyta; Magnoliopsida; Solanales; Solanaceae
Description: long non-coding RNA (CANN_LNC014356)
Source: RNAcentral